RNAcentral lists this ribosomal RNA (256 nucleotides) under uncultured bacterium. RNAcentral's name for it is "partial 16S ribosomal RNA". It matches the Rfam family "Bacterial small subunit ribosomal RNA", at positions 524 to 777 of the family's 1533-position model. The record is from RNAcentral.
UACGGGGGGGGGCAAGCGUUUGUUCGGAAUUACUGGGCGUAAAGGGCUCGUAGGCGGCCAACUAAGUCGGAUGUGAAAUCCCCAAGCUUAACUUGGGAACUGCAUCCGAUACUGGAUGGCUUGAAUCCGGGAGAGGGAUGCAGAAUUCCAGGUGUAGCGGUGAAAUGCGUAGAUAUCUGGAGGAAUACCGGUGGCGAAGGCGGCAUCCUGGACCGGCAUUGACGCUGAGGAGCGAAAGCUAGGGGAGCAAACGGGG